Molecule: ribosomal RNA, 400 nt
Filed under: uncultured bacterium
Lineage: Bacteria
Description: bacterial SSU rRNA
Rfam family: Bacterial small subunit ribosomal RNA
Source: RNAcentral
UCGGGAAUUUUGGGCAAUGGGGGAAACCCUGACCCAGCAACGCCGCGUGAAGGAUGAAGUAUUUCGGUAUGUAAACUUCGAAAGAAUGGGAAGAAUAAAUGACGGUACCAUUUAUAAGCUCCGGCUAACUACGUGCCAGCAGCCGCGGUAAUACGUAGGGAGCAAGCGUUGUUCGGAUUUACUGGGCGUAAAGGGCGCGUAGGCGGCAGUUCAAGUCAGCUGUGAAAUCUCAGGGCUUAACCCUGAAUGGUCAGCUGAUACUGUUUUGCUAGAGUGCAGAAGGGGCAAUCGGAAUUCUUGGUGUAGCGGUGAAAUGCGUAGAUAUCAAGAGGAACACCUGAGGUGAAGACGGGUUGCUGGGCUGACACUGACGCUGAGGCGCGAAAGCUAGGGUAGCAAA